Molecule: transfer RNA, 46 nt
Filed under: Actinobacillus sp.
Lineage: Bacteria; Pseudomonadati; Pseudomonadota; Gammaproteobacteria; Pasteurellales; Pasteurellaceae
Description: tRNA-Leu
Source: RNAcentral
CGCCGCCUUUGCGGGUGUGUCGGUUCGAGUCCGACCCUAGGCACCA